Molecule: ribosomal RNA, 139 nt
Filed under: uncultured eukaryote
Lineage: Eukaryota
Description: partial 18S ribosomal RNA
Rfam family: Eukaryotic small subunit ribosomal RNA
Source: RNAcentral
UGGUGGGUUGCCUUGUCAGGUUGAUUCCGGUAACGAACGAGACCUCAGCCUGCUAAAUAGUCACCGCCGCUUCUCGCGGCGGGCCGACUUCUUAGAGGGACUAUUGUCGUUUAGGCAAUGGAAGUAUGAGGCAAUAACA